GUACCAUACGAAUAAGGACCGGCUCAUUCCGUGCCAGCAGCCGCGGUAAUACGGAAGGUCCAGGCGUUAUCCGGAUUUAUUGGGUUUAAAGGGAGCGUAGGCUGGAUAUUAAGUGUGUUGUGAAAUGUAGACGCUCAACGUCUGACUUGCAGCGCAUACUGGUUUCCUUGAGUACGCACAACGUUGGCGGAAUUCGUCGUGUAGCGGUGAAAUGCUUAGAUAUGACGAAGAACUCCGAUUGCGAAGGCAGCUGACGGGAGCGCAACUGACGCUUAAGCUCGAAGGUGCGGGUAUCAAACAGGAUUAGAUACCCUGGUAGUCCGCACAGUAAACGAUGGAUGCCCGCUGUUGGUACCUGGUAUCAGCGGCUAAGCGAAAGCAUUAAGCAUCCCACCUGGGGAGUACGCCGGCAACGGUGAAACUCAAAGGAAUUGACGGGGGCCCGCACAAGCGGAGGAACAUGUGGUUUAAUUCGAUGAUACGUCGAGGAACCUUACCCGGGCUUGAAUUGCAGAGGAAGGAUUUAGAGAUAAUGACGCCCUUCGGGGUCUCUGUGAAGGUGCUGCAUGGUUGUCGUC
This 578-nucleotide ribosomal RNA is filed under the name Prevotella melaninogenica. RNAcentral's name for it is "bacterial SSU rRNA". It matches the Rfam family "Bacterial small subunit ribosomal RNA", at positions 475 to 1056 of the family's 1533-position model. Lineage: Bacteria; Pseudomonadati; Bacteroidota; Bacteroidia; Bacteroidales; Prevotellaceae. The record is from RNAcentral.